Molecule: RNA transcript, 1341 nt
Organism: Juglans microcarpa x Juglans regia
Lineage: Eukaryota; Viridiplantae; Streptophyta; Magnoliopsida; Fagales; Juglandaceae
Exons: 4
Source: RefSeq, a predicted model, not a curated record
UUAUAAAGUGCCAAAUCCAUUACUGUGGAAGGUAUGUAUGUAUCUUAUCCUCUCUCUCAAUUCUAUAUAGGAUGCAUGACUUUAAAAUAAAUGAUGAUGAUGAUAUUGUUUUAACAGGGACAUUAUAAUGCCACUGUGUUACCGAAAAAUGAGAUUCCAGAGUGGUUCCAGUAUCAUAAAGAAUUUUUAGAAAAUUAAAUUGCUAAGAGAGGGGAUGAUGAUGUCCAAUUGAAAGGAAAUGAAGAAUGGGUAAUAAAUAUUGAGGGGCCACACUAUUUGGAAGAUAUCAGCGGGAUUGUAAUAUAUGUCAUUACAUUUUUCAAUGAAGUUCUUUGUGAUGAGGAUUUUUCAUCGGAAGCUGAGCCUUUGACCAAUAUGAAGUAUGGAUGUGGUACUCUAAUUUAGAAUCAUUUGAGCCAAAGGUUUUGGACAAUUUGAGGGUACAACUUCGUAUUCCUCCCACUCCAAGUGAUUCUCUUCGGGAACCUUUUUCGGUAUGGUAUUAUGUAAGUAUGGGAGCCAAUGUUGUAUACAAGCAUGAAAACAGAGCACAUAAAAGAAGAAAAAUGGAUUGAAUUAAAUGAUAGCCCAAGUGGAAUUUCAGGUUGCAUUCUUAGUGAUCUUGAGAGCAAAAUACUCCUAGUGUGAGAGAAGGGUGAAACCAAGUGUUUGAGAGUGAGUUGAUUUGUUGGAGCAUCAAAAGCCAUGGUUUGAUAAAGACGUAGUUUCAAUAUGAGUUGUCCUAUGGUCACCAGCAGGUACUCACGGUGCAUAUAAGGGAGUUGUGACGAUACCAUAUGUUAUAUUCAUGAUGGAUUUCAUAACUAUGAAAUGUUAAGUUUUUAAAAAGAUGAAGUAAAAAAUAUUCUCUAAAAGAAAAUGUGCAUUAAAGUUUUUAUAAAAGAUGUUGAGGAAUCUGGAUGCAUGGGAAACAAAUACAAAUUUUUCUGCAUGCGUCUCAUGUUUAUCAUAAUCAUGUAUAUCUUAUCUCUGUGCAAGUUGGUUGUUUAACUUACUGGGAUUUCAAGAAAUCUCACUGUGGUAGUCCCACUAUCAUUCCUUUUGGAAUGGUAGAAGUUGUAUCAGGACUAGCAUACGACGAACAGGAUGAACCAUGGUUGAGGAUGAGCCCGAUCCUGAGUGGAGGCUGGAUUAGUGUUUAUAGCAAUGGCUCUAUACACCAUCGAGAGGAUGAGAGAAUUGAUUUGACUACGAACUUUGAUGCAAUAUCUGUAUUAAGGAGAUUCUAUCUCCCACUUUUUGUUUAAACAUGCAUUACUAUGUGGACCUCUUAAGUAAGAUAGUACCUAUUGUUGGUUAAUUCAUCUAUUGGGAUAUUUA